Peromyscus maniculatus bairdii (prairie deer mouse) is the source of this 6732-nucleotide non-coding RNA. Lineage: Eukaryota; Metazoa; Chordata; Mammalia; Rodentia; Cricetidae. The record is from RefSeq and is a predicted model, not a curated record.
UGCGGGUCGCCCGGCCUUUGUCUGGGACCCUCCAUCUUGGGCUCAGAGUCUGGUACCCGGGAGGCUCCUGCGCAGUCCUGGUAGCGCCGUGACGCGGUGGAUGCAGGGCAAUGGUAGGAAGACGCCGCCGGCGUCCCCAAGAAAUGGACAUGGGUACUGGGUCCUCUCCUCCUCUAGGAGGCUUUCUGAGGUGUGGGGGUGCAGCCUCUCAGGGGAGCACCUGGAUGCCCUGCUACUGGAAGGAAUGGCCUGGUAUACUGUCAUCUAAAAGGAACUUCAGUUGUUUCCAUGUCUGGUCUGUGAGUGUGACUAAUGCUACAGCAAUCGUGGGAAUGAUGCCAUUUCUUUGGCAAUUUGUUAUUCCUUUGAAUGCAUAACCAAUAUUAUAAGUUUGGAUUAUAUCGUAGUUCUGCUUAGUUCUUUGAAAUGAAACACAGAAUAAUUUAUAUUCUCAUUCUCAUUUAUAUUCUCAUUGUACUAGGAUUCCUCUUUUACCAUGUCCAUGUCUUUUCGAACACUUGUUGUCUGGCAUGGUUUUGAUACUAUUUACUCUGUACUGAAGCUACAGGAGGUCUGCUGUUUGGAGUAGCCAGUCCCUGUUGGGAUGCAGGGAGUCACCACUGAAAGAGUGUUCACAACCUCUUCUGUGGUGACAGGUGACUUUUAACUCUUCAUUAAUGGUGAGAGUUGAGGGCCAAUGAUGUGCUUGUGUGUCCAUCUUAAAAGGUCAGUUUUUCCUGUGAUUCAUGGCCAUUUGCACAGGCCCAGUCCCCUCUGCUUCGAGAGUUCUGAGACUUAGAAUUAAUUCCUUGAAGCGGAAUACAUUAAAACCAAGACACUUGGUAUGUAUUAAAACUCAUCCCAGGAGGUGGACCUUGUAGAUGGGGUGAGCUGGGGUGAGGGUGGGGAGCUUAGAAAGUGCUGAGCACCCAUUCUGGAUGCCAGAGUUUUUACUCUUUUGUUAUUUUUUUCCUACUAGUUAACAGUGUUUUUUUUUUUUUUUUAAAUAUGACUGGAUUGAUAUGUGCUUUUAUGUUGCUCUUAAUACAGACCUCAUGUUCAUAUAAAUCUAUCAGUGGAUCUUACUUAUAUUGGGAUGCCUUGGAGUUUGUUGUUACAGUAUUUGAGUUACAUAAUGUGUGUUAGUAUUAUUUAAUAAUAGCCCGUAAUUGACCAAUCUAGGCCCCCUGCAUCUGGGUGACAGUUGUGUAGCUUGGUCUUUUGUGGGGCCCUGUCCCUGAUGCAUAAGCUGCCUCUUUGGAACCUAUUCCCUAUGGUGGGAUGCCUUGUUCAGCCUUGAUGCAGGGAAGAGGAGCUUGGUCCUGCAGCAACUUGAUAUGCCAUGUUUCGUGGAUUCUCAAGGGAGACCUUACCCCAUCUGAAUGGAGGUAGAAGGGAGGUUGGAGGAGGGAACAUGAAGAGAGGAGGGAGGGGAAACUGUAACUGGUAUGAAAAAUAAAGGAAAAAAAAUAAUGCAGAGAUGAAAUAAAAAAAUACAAAAAAUAAUAAAAGCCCAUAAUUACUGCUCUUAUUCUAAGUUAAUUUCAUAUAUACUGUGGAUACACACAUGUACACAAACAUAUAUAUUUUUAUAUGCAUAUAUUGAACCUUCCAGAAAAGUUCCAGGGUUUUGUGAUUCUUUUCCUUCUAUUAAAAAUAAACCAUGUUGAAAUUCUGAUAGGAUAAUAUUAUUAAUUAAUUUAGGAGAAAAGGUUAUGUUUAUAAAUUUUUCAACACAAACAGUAUAUGUAACUUGGUUUUAUUUAUUUAUUUAUAUGUGCCUCUGAAUUUUUAUUUUCUCAUAAGUUCUGCCUAUUUCCUUUAUGAAUUUUAUGUCCACGUGAAAUAUGACAGGCAUAUAGUAUCUGUGCAGAACUUAGUCUGUGCUUCAUUGUUAACUACACAUAAAAGGCCUUGAGUGUGAUUGUCACCUAGGCCACAUAAUUAUUUGUCUCUUCCUGAUUGUGUCUCCUCUUGUCUCCACUCCCAGGAUUUCAGCUCUUGUGUUAUUAUUUCUGUGUCUCCAGUGUUAUCAUGACAUACAUUUAUACCUGUAACAGAAAAUAUUUUGUCUCUUUCAUAGCUGCUUUCUCCAAAGGAAUAACAACUUACACUUCAUUGUGAGUUUAUGUACAAUUGUUUCAUGUGUUCAUCAAUACUAUUUGUCUAUCUUGUUAUUUUGUUUUAUGUUUUUUCUCAUUUCUAAGUGUGCUCUGUAUUUUUAUGAUUAUUGAACAUGUACAUACUUCCUAUAUAAAACAGCUUUUCAAAUACCUUGCCUACUUUUCUUCCUAGGUCUCUAUCUUUGCCUUCCUUAUUAAUAAGUGAUUAGAUGUGUGUGAGGCAAUUGGUUUCUCCCACUGUGCCACUUCAUUUUUAACCCUUUGUUUUAUUUGAUGAAUACAAUUAUUUCAGUGCAGUUUAAAUUAUGAAUUUUAAAAUAUAGCUUUGUGUAUAUUUGACGAGCAAUCACUCUAUCUCCCAUAACACCUUCUGAAUGUCUUAGUAUGCUUUUAGAUUUAUAAACUAAAUAGUUAUAAAUGAUUUCUUACUAUUGAUGAGUUCCUCUAUAAAUGAGGAAAGGGUGUGCAAACAUCUGUAACCAUACAGUUGCCCCAGUGUUCCUGUAGUUUUCAUUGGAAAGAGAGUAUUUUCCUAUUGUUUUUCAGUCCAGUCUCUGUCAUCUAUGAAUCUAAAAGGCAAGGAUUUUUUUAAGGACUCUGUCUUCAUUUCCACAGUUAUAUUUAUUCUUCUCAUUGCCAAGUUAAUGCUAUAUAGCUUUAUAAUACAUAGACAUGUGACACAUCAAGAUGUUAUGUUCACAGUAGAUUCAUACAUGAUAGCAGCUGUAACAUGUAACUGAGGUUUGUAUAAAUUUAUUUGGUAAUGUUUGCAGAAUGUCAGAAUCACUAAGAACACAUCUCAUAAGGUGUCUCCACUAUGAUGUGAGAUAUGAGUUCAGAUAUAUAACACAAAUGAACAUAUAAUUUUUCCUUAUUGAAGUUACCUGGAAUUGCUGAUAUUCUUUGUGAUACAUUCCUUUUCAAUACCUCUUUUUUUUUUUUCUUUAUUUUGGAAUUUUUUUUAGUCUCCCUGCAACCGUUUUUGAAAAUUUCAUUUACUUACUUAUUUUGUGUGUAUGAGUGAGUGAGUGAGCCUGAGACAGAGACUAUAUGGAGACCAGAGGACAGCAUUCAGGAGUCAGUUCUCUCCUUCCAUUAUGUAGGUCUUGAGAAUCGAACUGAGGUCAUCAGCCCUGGUGUCAAGCCUUUUAUCUCUACUAGUUAAGCCAUUUUGUCAGCUUCAUCUUUUUUUUUUAAACAAAAUAUUUAUUUUCUCAGUUAUUGAGAUCAUAGACUAGGUCUCUUUGUUGUUUUACCUAAUAUUGAUUUUUGUCUAAUGAAUACUAUGCACUUUUUUUUUGGUUUUUCAAGACAGGGUUUCUCUGUGUAGCUUUGUGCCUUUCCUGGAACUCACUCUGUAGCCCAGGCUGACCUCGAACUCACAGAGAUCUGCCUGCCUCUGCCUCCUGAGUGCUGGGAUUAAAGGCGUGCGCCACCACCACCCAGCCUAUGCACUUCAUUUUUAACACCAGGAUUUGACACAUCUUCUUGAAGUUUAUUGGCUUAUAAUUGACAUGAAUUGCAUGUUUUUGUUUAUUAACAUGCUUACAUUCAUAGCACCUAUACCAUAGCCACCAGAAUUAACAUACCCAUGAUCCCAUUGUGUUUUAUAGUGUCCUUAUACAAUCCUUCCUUUAUGUUUUCCUCCAUCAUAUUUUGUGUAAUAAACAUUUCCUUGAACAAAUGAAAAAUGUGUCAAACAUCAAAAUUAUAUAGCUCAGUGAAGUAUCAUAUUAGGGACAUGUAAUUACUACCUCCUGUGUCAAAAAUAGAUACCUUUUGUAACCAGUAAAAUGUUCAGAAUGCGUUAAUUUAGCAGAUCACUGGCUCCCACCACCCCAAAGCUAACUACAGAUGGCAUUCGCAGCCGAUGCCAGAAGUUUGCCCACUUUGCUUCAACCCAUUGUGUUGAUUUACAUGAGGAAUGCCCCCCACAGGCUCAUGUAUUUGAACAUUUGUUCCACAGUCGGUGGUACUGUUUGGGGAUGUUAUGGAACCUCCAGGAAGUACAGCAUUACUAGAGGAAGUACAUCACUGGGCAGGCCUUGAGGACUUAAAGCCUUGCCCCAGUUCCUACUCUCCCUCUCUGCUUCCUGUGCAUGGAUGAAAAUGUGAUCAACCACUUUCUUGCUCCUGCCACCAUGCCAUGCCUUCUCCCAUCAUGAUGGACUCUUACUUCUCUUAAACCAUAAGCCAAAAUAAACUCUUCCUUACAUUGCUUUUGGUCAUGGUAUUUUAUCAUAGCAGCAGAGAAGUAACUAAUACAGUCACUUACAACCUGAUAGCUAUAUCACUCUAUUGAGUAAUGCCUUGAUUUACGACUUUGUUUUGUGACUAUAAAGGUUCAUGGUGCCGGGCGUGGUGGCGGAUAUCUUUAAUCCCAGCACUCGGGAGGCCGAGGCAGGCAGAUCUCUGUGAGUUAGAGGCCAGCCUGGUCUACAGAGCGAGUUCCAGGAAAGGUGCAAAGCUACACAGAGAAACCCUGUCUCGAAAAAACAAAACAAACAAAACAAAAAAGGUUCAUGUAACCACUUCCACCUAAAUCCAUGUUGCUAGGCCACAGCCACUAAUAUUUGACUUGAAAUAAAGUGCAUUUUAUUCCCUUUGAAUGAGAACUAUUUUGUGGACACUCCUAUGCACAAAGCCCACAUAUUACCUGAUUGUCCCUGCUCCCUUUGUCUCUCCAGAGUUUGGGAAGCUGUGGGCAUGUGGACAUUCAUCUGAAGAGGGCCCCAGGUCCCAAGACACCAUUCAGACAAGAGCCUAGGUCCCAGAACCAUACCACAAAUAGACAGGAGCCAGUGGAUGAGUGGACAGCUGUGAAAUUGGGCUCUAGACAAGUGGUGGCCCAGGGUGGUAAGUGCUAGCUAGUUAUGUGGGUUUCAAUAGCUUAUACAUCUACACUUCUGGACUUCCUGGCCCAAAUUCACCAUGUCCUGCCUUCAGUUGCCCUGAUAUCCUCCCUAUGGCUGCCAUAUAAGUUAUAGUGCAGAAGAUGAUAUUGCAUAGCCAUUGAAGUUUGUAAGGCUCAUAGCAUGUGUCUAUCACAAACUAUACCACAAUUCACACAUAUCCAUGUGCUUUAACCCAGUAGCCCCUUUUACCCCCACCCCUUUUCUUUCAGCAAAGCACCUCAUUGGACAGCUUAAUUAUUCCCAUUCCUGUAGAAUGCAGGGAAGAAGGUCAUUCUACAGGCAGAUUCACCUUCCUUUUGUGGAUUGUAAGUAGCUCCUGCCAGCCACAUUUCCAUGUAAACAGAACCUGAAGUUGACCCCAGUGUCUUCCUACAUCUCUUUCUGAACAUCAGGAUUCAAGUGUGUACAGAGAAUUCCACACUUUGUACUAUUGUGUAAUUGUCAUGACAUCACUGAAUGAUAGGAACUUUUUGUGUUAGCAUUAUAAGAGCUACCAUAAUAUUGUGUGGGUUGUUGACUAAAAUGCUGUUAACGCAUGACAAUACUCUUGAUUGGCAGGGUAAAGUAUCAUAAAAAUAUGUUUCAAGCAUGAUAUUGUAGCCCUUAUUGCAUCCACCAGUACAAUAGCUACAAAACCUAACACCUUUCUUUUCUUUUUUGUAUCCUUAUGAAAGCUAGACCACUGGUGAAUUUUAAUAUGGAGUCAUAAGGAAUGAUUAUACAAAAACAAAUGUUACAACCUCAUCUACAUUAAUUAAAUUCAAGCUAAAAAAUUAUUUCCAACUGUAGAUUCUGUUAAACCAUUAGAGAUCUGUUUGUGAUUAUAAUGGUUAGUCUUGCUUGCUAACUUGAUGGGAUGUAGAAGACAAACUUCUGGGUAUAUGUAGGAGGGUCUUUAACUGAGAGAGAUGUUUAACUGAGAUUGGAAGAUCCACCCUGAAGGUGAGCAGCACUAUUUUAUAGGCUGAGGUCCCACACUGAAUAAAAAAGGGGAAAGUUGGCAUACCGGUAUCUAUAUCACUGGGCUUCCUGACUUGGAUAUAUUAUGACCAGCCACCUCAUACUCCUGCUGCCAUGCUUUCCUUGUAAUAUGGUCUGUACACUCAAAUUGUGAGGCAAAGGAAACUUCCUUAAGUUGAUUUGCCAUGUAUUUUAUCAUAGUAAUGAAAAAGGUAACCAAUACAGAAAAUUGGUAACAGGAGUGGGAAUACUGUUUCCAGAAAUCUGAGUAUAUGGCUAUUACAUCCUCUGAACUACUUGUGAUAGAGACAUUGAAGAAGGCUUACAGACUAGGAAAGUUUUAGAAUCUCGUAAGCAGAGCUUAGUGGAGCAUUUGCUGAGAGAAAUAUGGACUGUGGAGACCUGGCUCAUGAGGUUUCAGAAGGGAAUAAGGAUUUUGCCAGGAACUGGACUGGAGGUCAUUCAUGUUACAUUCUCCCUAAGUAUCUAGCCUCAUUCUGUCCAUGUGAUGAGAACUUGCAUGAAUCUUGAUUCACAUGUAAUGGGCCAGUCUAGUAAGAUGGCUCAGCAGGUAAAGAUGCAUGCUACAAAGUCUGAUGGCCUGAAUUUGAUCCCUGGGACUCACAUGGUGGAAGAAGGGACCAGCUCCCAGCACUUCUCUCCUUACAUGGUACAUUCGCACCCUUCCUCCUUGCAUAUAACUGCAUAAAUAAAUGUAAUUUAAAAUUUUUAAA